GUACACGCUGUGACUAGCAUAUCAAUAAGCGGAGGAAAAGAAACUAACAAGGAUUCCCCUAGUAACGGCGAGUGAAGCGGGAAGAGCUCAAAUUUGAAAUCUUAAAGGGUUUCCCUUUACGAAUUGUAGUUUAAAGAAGUGUUUUCUGUUGAGGUUUUGGUAAAAGUUCUUUGGAAUAGGACAUCAUAGAGGGUGAGAAUCCCGUAUUUGACCUUUACUUUCAACUUUGUGAUACACUUUCAAAGAGUCGGAUUGUUUGGGAAUGCAGUCCAAAAUGGGUGGUAAAUUUCAUCUAAAGCUAAAUAUUGGCGAGAGACCGAUAGCGAACAAGUACCGUGAGGGAAAGAUGAAAAGAACUUUGAAAAGAGAGUUAAACAGUACGUGAAAUUGUCAAGAGGGAAGCGUUUGACACCAGUGUUGUUUUUCUGAAAAUCAAUUAAAGAACUGUUUAUGCUAAGCUGUUUAGACUUUAUCAGCUAACUGUUUAGUUUUGAGCUUUUCUUUAAUGCACUUUUCAGUUAACAAGUCAACAUCAAUUUCUUUUGCUGUAAAAAAGCUUGAGGAAGGUGGCUUGAGAUUCGUCUUAAGUGUUUAUAGCCUCUUGCCUAUGCAGUCCGGAGAGAUUGAGGUCUGCAGCGUAGAUCCUUCGGGGCUAAAUGCAUUUGUGCUAAGUUAUAGCAUUUUAUAGACAACUUGUUGACUAUGAUUUGUCUUGUAGCUUACUCGCUUAUGUUAUUUUACCUACGCUUAGGAUGUUGAUAUGCAUGACUGAUAU
Molecule: ribosomal RNA, 775 nt
Filed under: uncultured Neocallimastigales
Lineage: Eukaryota; Fungi; Neocallimastigomycota; Neocallimastigomycetes; Neocallimastigales
Description: partial large subunit ribosomal RNA
Rfam family: Eukaryotic large subunit ribosomal RNA
Source: RNAcentral